This 226-nucleotide ribosomal RNA is filed under the name uncultured bacterium. Its description in RNAcentral is "partial 16S ribosomal RNA". It matches the Rfam family "Bacterial small subunit ribosomal RNA", at positions 15 to 219 of the family's 1533-position model. The record is from RNAcentral.
GAUCCUGGCUCAGGAUGAACGCUGGCGGCGUGCUUAACACAUGCAAGUCGAGCGAAGCACUCUGCUUUGAUUCUUUCGGGAUGAAGAGCAUUGUGACUGAGCGGCGGACGGGUGAGUAACGCGUGGGUAACCUGCCUCAUACAGGGGGAGUAACAGUUAGAAAUGGCUGCUAAUACCGCAUAAGACCACAGCACCGCAUGGUGCAGGGGUAAAACGUACCGGUGGU